This 1264-nucleotide long non-coding RNA is filed under the name Scophthalmus maximus (turbot). RNAcentral describes it as "lncRNA (ENSSMAG00000033909.1)". Lineage: Eukaryota; Metazoa; Chordata; Actinopteri; Pleuronectiformes; Scophthalmidae. The record is from RNAcentral.
UUUAAAAGCAUCUCAGGAACUCCCGAGAGCUCUCCGCGUCGCUCGCUGUGACUUUCCUGCUGUCUUUCAUCCGUUGGACAUGAUGCUGGUUAUAUCUGUAUUACUCUCUCACAGAUGGAUUGUAAAAUGCUCCUUUCCUGUCUUUUGGUAAAUUCAAAAUCCUGGGGGGACCUAAUGCACAUUUCAGCAGGAGCAAUAGAACAUAUUGCAUUUCAUUCCCUCUUGGAGAGAAUACUCUACGUAAACUAUAUGAAAAUAAGAAUUUUGUUGUUGAAAUUAACAUAAAAUAUAUUUUUAAUGUGCCGCCCUCUAUUUGAACUUCAACCUGCCGUUUAAAUGUCACACUGCAGUGAUGUCUUGCGCUCAUAUCCCUGUGUCUAUUUGUUAGAAGGAAGGUCGAUGAUCACUUUUACCUUAUUUAUAGGUAAUAAGGAAGAAAUGCACAACCUGUAUUUUUGGAACCCCUGAAUUAAAACAGUCAUGAACCCAGGAAGAUUUCUUAUUCCGUCACAGUUGCCCUGUAGAAAUUUACAUUCACGAAAAAUGUAUGAAGUGAUGGUAAACAAAGACAGGACUAUUUCUAAUUUCUACCAGCUGAUCAUAAAUGUAAAAAAGAAAUUAAAGUCAGAAUAAGUGAUGGGUAUUAGACAGUUAAUUUGUUUCCAGAAAAUAAUUGUAAGUGUGUGCAAUGUGUUUGCAAGUGACAAUGGUCCCUGUGUGCCUGUUGACAUAUGUGCGAGGCUCUGAAUAGGACCCGAUCAUUUACAAAACAUCAAAACUUCAUUAAUUUCGGCCCCGUGUAUCUGCACUUGUUUCAUGUCUUCAUCUUCGUGUUUACUCUUGCCUUCAGGUGUGCGCAGCGCGGCCAUGCUGAGGUAGCAGCAGCCCGCACGUCAGAAUGUGUGACGGAGAAGAGGGACAGCUGAACGGGAGGCCGAAGGAGGUGGCGAUCUGUUACGUCAGUGACGAAGAUGGAGACAGCGAUGGCGACGAUGAGGAUGAGGGGACGCCUGACCAGUCCCACGGCGCCCCCUUCAGCUCCGAGAAUGAGGCUCAGGGAGGGGACCCCGCUGUGUGGCAGUGCACUCCUCCCCCAUCUACCUCACCUUCGGGGGACACGCCGGCCCACCCGCCCCUCUACCAGCCAGCGUCCAGACCCCGCUCCAGGCCGGCCAGCCAAAUGCCCUCCCCUCCCUCCGCCCUGUCGGGAACCAAGAAGAGAAGCUCCAAACCGGCGCACAUGAGACGCAACAUCAGGUACUGA